This 382-nucleotide ribosomal RNA is filed under the name Stevenia sp. n. 10 AT-2015. RNAcentral's name for it is "partial 16S ribosomal RNA". The record is from RNAcentral. Lineage: Eukaryota; Metazoa; Arthropoda; Insecta; Diptera; Rhinophoridae.
UCGAAGGUAGCAUAAUCAGUAGUCUUUUAAUUGAAGGCUGGUAUGAAUGGUUGGACGAGAAAUUAACUGUUUCAUAAAAAUUUAUGAUAGAAUUUUAUUUUUUAGUCAAAAAGCUAAAAUUUAUUUAAAAGACGAGAAGACCCUAUAAAUCUUUAUAUAAGUUUUAUUGUAAUUUUUUAGAUUUAUUUUGUUAUAAUAAAUUAUUAUAUUUUAUUGGGGUGAUAUUAAAAUUUAAUAAACUUUUAAUUUUUAUAAUCAUUAAUUUAUGAAUAAAUGAUCCGUUAAUAACGAUUAAAAAAUUAAGUUACUUUAGGGAUAACAGCGUAAUUUUUUUGGAGAGUUCAUAUCGAUAAAAAAGAUUGCGACCUCGAUGUUGGAUUAA